RNAcentral lists this long non-coding RNA (225 nucleotides) under Carica papaya (papaya). RNAcentral describes it as "long non-coding RNA (CPAP_LNC010069)". Lineage: Eukaryota; Viridiplantae; Streptophyta; Magnoliopsida; Brassicales; Caricaceae. The record is from RNAcentral.
AAAAGUUGUGCCAUGUCAGCACCACGUCAGCAGCUACGUCAGCGGCCCGGUCAGCAGUCCCGGCCAACCAGGACGCGCCGCGUGGCAAGGAAACGCUGACCAGGGGACGGGCCACGUGGGCGAUCCGCGUGCGCGCGAUCGAACGACCCAGAUCCGUUCCCGCGCGCACGGACGACCCAGAUCAAAUGUGCGCACGGACGGCCUAGAUUCACGCGCACGAACGGC